RNAcentral lists this transfer-messenger RNA (370 nucleotides) under Photobacterium kishitanii. RNAcentral describes it as "Standard tmRNA". It matches the Rfam family "transfer-messenger RNA". Rfam says of the family: Bacterial tmRNA, also known as 10Sa RNA or SsrA, is named for its dual tRNA and mRNA-like properties. The record is from RNAcentral. Lineage: Bacteria; Pseudomonadati; Pseudomonadota; Gammaproteobacteria; Vibrionales; Vibrionaceae.
GGGGGCGAUCUAGGAUUCGACACGAUUCCGAGAGCCUGUGGAGCAUGCCGAGGUGCGGUUUGCCUCGUUAAAAAGCCGCAGCAUUAUAGAUGCAAACGACGAAAACUUCGCACUAGCAGCUUAAUACCCUGCUCAGAGCGCUCCUGCCCUAGCUUUCGCUUGUAAGACGGGGAGUAACAGGGGUUCAAACCCAAACAAGAUAGCGAGGGAAUCUUUGACUAGAGAGAUGAACCGCGAAAUAGAAUUCUAGUAUGUAUUAGCAUAGCGUGUCAGUUCGCAGUAUUAAUACAAGAUUAAAGACUGACUAAGCAUGUAGCGCCUACGGUUGUAAGAGUUGUGGACGCGGGUUCGAUUCCCGCCGCCUCCACCA